This 90-nucleotide small RNA is filed under the name Salmonella enterica subsp. enterica. RNAcentral describes it as "partial RtT sRNA". It matches the Rfam family "RtT RNA", at positions 1 to 88 of the family's 130-position model. From Rfam's summary of the family: This family represents a bacterial cis-regulatory element known as RtT RNA. RNAcentral also lists the same sequence under 2 other names. Lineage: Bacteria; Pseudomonadati; Pseudomonadota; Gammaproteobacteria; Enterobacterales; Enterobacteriaceae. The record is from RNAcentral.
GUUUGCACUUGUCGGGGAAGGGUGAGAACCUUCGAUUAAGGUUCGACUCGAGCGAAAGCGAGAGAACGUUGCCAACGGCAACGGCCCGUA